GGGUCGAUGCCCGAGUGGAACAGGGAGCGGACUGUAAAUCCGUUGGCUAAAGCCUACGUUGGUUCGAAUCCGACUCGACCCA
This 82-nucleotide transfer RNA is filed under the name Polytoma uvella. RNAcentral's name for it is "tRNA-Tyr". It matches the Rfam family "tRNA". Rfam says of the family: Transfer RNA (tRNA) molecules are approximately 80 nucleotides in length. Their secondary structure includes four short double-helical elements and three loops (D, anti-codon, and T loops). Further hydrogen bonds mediate the characteristic L-shaped molecular structure. tRNAs have two regions of fundamental functional importance: the anti-codon, which is responsible for specific mRNA codon recognition, and the 3' end, to which the tRNAs corresponding amino acid is attached (by aminoacyl-tRNA synthetases). tRNAs cope with the degeneracy of the genetic code in two manners: having more than one tRNA (with a specific anti-codon) for a particular amino acid; and 'wobble' base-pairing, i.e. permitting non-standard base-pairing at the 3rd anti-codon position. The record is from RNAcentral. Lineage: Eukaryota; Viridiplantae; Chlorophyta; Chlorophyceae; Chlamydomonadales; Chlamydomonadaceae.